GAUGAACGCUGGCGGCGUGCCUAAUACAUGCAAGUCGAGCGAACGGACGAGAAGCUUGCUUCUCUGAUGUUAGCGGCGGACGGGUGAGUAACACGUGGAUAACCUACCUAUAAGACUGGGAUAACUUCGGGAAACCGGAGCUAAUACCGGAUAAUAUUUUGAACCGCAUGGUUCAAAAGUGAAAGACGGCCUUGCUGUCACUAAUAGAUGGAUCCGCGCUGCAUUAGCUAGUUGGUAAGGUAACGGCUUACCAAGGCAACGAUGCAUAGCCGACCUGAGAGGGUGAUCGGCCACACUGGAACUGAGACACGGUCCAGACUCCUACGGGAGGCAGCAGUAGGGAAUCUUCCGCAAUGGGCGAAAGCCUGACGGAGCAACGCCGCGUGAGUGAUGAAGGUCUUCGGAUCGUAAAGCUCUGUUAUUAGGGAAGAACAUAUGUGUAAGUAACUGUGCACAUCUUGACGGUACCUAAUCAGAAAGCCCCGGCUAACUACGUG
This 497-nucleotide ribosomal RNA is filed under the name uncultured bacterium. RNAcentral's name for it is "partial 16S ribosomal RNA". It matches the Rfam family "Bacterial small subunit ribosomal RNA", at positions 28 to 507 of the family's 1533-position model. The record is from RNAcentral.